GGUUAUUCUUCAUGUACCUGUAUUGCUACAAUGAUAUCAGAAUCAACAGAUGCAGGAACUAUUAGUGUUGCUAUUGCUGUACCUAUCACUGGUCUAUUAACUGGACUCAUUACUGCAGUAAUUACUAGUAUCAUUUGUUUAAUAAUGAGGAAAAAGGGAAGGACUACCAACUCUAAAGAAACAGAUCUGUGUGGCCCUGUAUAUGAUUUACCAGUAGUAGAUAAUAAACAAUUAGAAGAAAAACACAUUGACGUUCAACGAAACACUGCAUAUGGACAAGCAUUUUGAUAAAAUAAUUUUAAAAUUGUGUACUUUUAAUAGCUCAUUUGUGGUUAUAUGUACAUCAUUAUAUGGCAACAAUAUAAUCAUCCAAUUCUA
Molecule: long non-coding RNA, 378 nt
Organism: Amphimedon queenslandica
Lineage: Eukaryota; Metazoa; Porifera; Demospongiae; Haplosclerida; Niphatidae
Exons: 2
Source: RefSeq, a predicted model, not a curated record